GCUUAUCUGGGCUCAUGGUUGGCAUCUAAGGUACCGUUUGAUUCGGGUAUAAGUCAAGAACUAGCUAUUACAGGGAUAGGUACAAGUAUGGGGAUAAAAAAAAUAGUGUUUGAAUGAAAAUUGGGUUGUUUUCGGGGAUAAGAACAAUUUUAGAUAGUUUUAUAUAGAAAAUAGAGGUGUUGGUGGGGAUAACCGAGAACUACUAUUCUCGAAUAAAAAAUUAGCAUUUAGGUAUAAAGGGGGGAUAAUGGCCUACUCCUAUUCCUAUCUCCUAACCAAACGCUGCCUAAGUAUUUUAACAGCUAAGCUACAUGUGUGUUUUUUUGGAAUAAUUGCCUACGUUUAAAAUUAAAUAUGCGAUUUACCCUUACUUUUUUUUCUUUCUAAAAUAUCCCUCAUAUGUUCCACCGUUAUUGCAAAAUACCUCCGCAAUUAUCCCAUGUUAAGUUAACUUGGGUUAAACGUGAGUUAAAUAUCUACCAUAGUUAAAAAAAUUAAAAUACCAAUUUUGCCCUUAACUUAAGGGCAAAUAAAAAAUAUUGGUGACGGUAGAGGGGUUUAUUGGAAAAGAACAAAAGUCAAAAUACUUUUUGUGCCCCUGACUUUAAGAGCAAAUAAGAAAGUCAAUGAUGGUGGAAAGGUAUAUUUGAAAGGGCAAAAUAGUAAUUUUACAGAAAUAACAGAGUUAAUUAACAGAUUUUAACUCUAGGAAUAUAUUAGAAAUAGGUUGGAACGUAGAAAAGAUAUUUUCAAUAUUAGCCUUCUAAAAAGGGUAAAUCGAAAAGUCGAAACUUUUCAGGAGUAUAUAAGCAAUUGCACUUUUUUUUUAAUAGCUCUUCUCAAAUUCUAUAUAACUUUAUCAUAUGCUUUACGUUUUCUAGAUUUAGUUUGAACAAAAUUCUAAAACUUCAACCACUUCACAAUGAAAGCUCCCUUCUUAUUCUUUUUCUUUGUAAGGAAAUUACAUAUUUAUUCAUGCAAGCUUUGAACAAUAAGAUGUCGUUUUACAAUAUUUGGUUAUUAUAAAUAUUUUCCUGAGUUGCUAAUAUAUAUAUAUAUAUAUAUAUAUCUCUUUUUUGAUGAUAUAUCUUUAAUUUUCUUAUUCUCAAAUAUUUACCACUCAUUCCCUCAAUAAUGAGGAGCAAAUUGGAUUUUGGUAAGAUUGUGAGAGGGCGGUAAUGUUAGCGAGACAUCAUGGUGGCCCGUCGGUACUGACAGUAGUGGAGUUUAAGUGGUACUUGGGGUAUGCUUGUUUCGCCGAAAGUGAACCAGAAUACAAUUGUUCUCAAUCAUAAAUAUCCACUUUCGUUGUUUAGUUUACCGUAAGUUAAAUUCAUCUGUAACUUUUUUAGAAAAAAAAACAUCGUAAUUGAUUUGUCUCUGAGUAGUGUGGAAGUCAAUUAAGAAAGAGAAAAAAAAUAAAAAAAUAAAAAAUUAACUGUUGUAAUUUUUUUCAUCUUUUAAUAUGUUAGUAUGAAGUACAUUCAAAAAAAUAAUUACUGUAAUUUUUAUCAUCUUUUUAUAUGUCAGUAUUAAAAUUCUCAGCAAAAUAAAUAGAAAGGAAUAGGCUCUUGAGAGUGGGCUCUCUUGCAUCCUAUCAAACAAAUAACAGUCAAUUUUUUGAUAUUUUUUAUUUAAAAUUUAAUUCAACUAAAAAUUAUUUUUAAGCCGAAAAUCACUUACAGGCAAUAAAAAGAUCCUUAAUAGUAGCGGUUAGAAAACAGUGGGGAAAUGACAGAUUAAGAUUUGUAUAUAGUUCAUUUCUUUUUUCUUUUUUUUUUUUUUUUUUGAGAGAUAGGUAGCACGCUACCUGUUUCGUUUAUUUUAUUUAAAAAUAAACUUAGCUGGAAAUGUGAAUCAACUAGGAUUCAAACUUGGGUCUCGGGUACCAACCACCAAGCCCUUGCCACUUGCUCUAGGGACGGUCGGUAGUUCAUUUCUAUCUGUAAGUUCAUUUAUGAAAAACUAGUUGAGUGUAAAUGAAAAACUAGUUGAGUGUACAUGUACGUAAUAAUUAUUUUAAUUUAUUUAUAAUCUAUAUAAAUUUGUACAUCGUAUUUAUUAAAAACAAAUUUACAAUAAAAAUUAUAUUUUAUAAAUUUAUAUGUUAUAUUUUAUUAGAAAACAUUUGAAACAUCCUAUAUUAUUGUUUUUACAUACAUUGAAUAUUUUUAUAUAUUUUUUAAUUUUUGAUUAAUCUUAAAUUUAAGUAUAUGUUUUAAACUAAAAACAUCUAAAUUUAAAUUACUUUGUACUUUAGAAUUUAAAAUUUAAUUUUGAUCCACUAUAAUUAAUUUUUUAAUUAUUAACUCCAAUGGAUAUAAAAAAUUAAAUUAAAUUUAUGAUAUAAACUUAAUUUUUAAUUUUAAUUUAAGUAGAUAGAUAUGAAUACUAUUUUUUAACAGAUUAAUCAUAACCUUCGUUUUUAUUUGAGAUAUUUCUUUUGAUUCCGUCUGUCAUUUCUAUACGCUUUUAUAUAUAGUAUUGUUGGAGCCGAAAUUUCCCGACUCUUGACCCGGUCAAAGAUCCUCCUCGGGAAGCGCGUCGGGAUGCGAGACGGCUGCGAACAGUGACCCUCGAAGUUUGCACACUUCGACAAAUCAAGCGAUUCGGCUGAUGAGGGAUCAGAUCAACCGGGUUCGAAAACCUCUAUAGUAUAAUCAGUUCGGCUGGGAUGAGCCGAAUCCUCGAAACAGGCCAGAAAGUGGGCAGAGAGAAGAGCCAGCCAAGACAACUCGAGAUCUGGUCGGCCUGAAGAGCCGAAAAUGAAAUACACAAUGACUGGUCGGCUGAAAGAGCCGAAUGCCUUUAUAUAAUAAUAAAAAGAGUGUGCCCGAAGGGCAUAUAGACUCAGAAAUAUAGUUUACAAUAGAGUGAUGCCCGUGGGGCAGACAGACUCUGCAAAUGUAGUCUACAACGGAGUGAUGCCUGUGGGGCAGACAGACUCCAGGGUUCUACUUAGUGAACUACUCCAGGAAAGCAGUAAAUGCGGAAAAGAAAAAGAUUACAUUUAGACUAUUCCUAGAAAAGCGAUAAAAUGCAGAGAAAAUAAGGGUGGUCUUUUGUGCGCAGGGGCAAAGACCUCUAUUGCAGUCUUUAAAGUUACUAUUUAUAGCCCACAUUAUUAGUUGGUUGAAAGAAGUUGGGGGGAGUGGUUGUAACCAUGAUCGUGGAAGUUAUACUAACUCCUCAUGGAAGUUACGCUAACUCCUCCUGAAAGUUACGCUCAAUCUUCAACCGUUCCCGCCUUUUUGUCCUUCAGGCGCCUUAUUGCCGACUCCUGGUGUACCACAUGUCCUUAUUGGCUCAUACGUGGGUUAGGUCGGCUCAAUUUUGGUAUAAACAAGUAUAGAUAAACAAAACGAAUCAUAAAUUAUCCUUCUCUUUUGUUUUGUUUUUUAAUUAUUGCAAAAGCUCAACAUCCUACUUGGUAGAGGGGCUAGAAGAAGGGAAGAGUUGUAAUGGUCAAUUUCUAAAAUGAGGACUAGGUCUAAGCAAUAUUUAGUUAGUAUAUUUUAUAUAAUUCUCGUAACUAUAAAUAAAUAAUUGGCAUAAAUUUUAAAGUAAAAGUGCCGCUAACUAACUCAAAUCAAACAAAAUAAAAUUUUGAAUAGAAAAAUUAAAAUUUUGAAAGCUUGGAUAACUAAAUCAAAAUGAUACAUAGUUUUGAUCAAUAUUUGUACAUUUUUAAUUACAAAUCAAAUAGAUAUCCAAAGAUGAACUUUAAUGUAAAGCAAUAAAUAAGAAGUUUGGGACUAAUAGUGUAAUUUUUUUUUAUCUCUUCUAUUUAAUUGUUUAUUAAUUAGUGAGAAAUGAGCAUGUCAGGUGAAUUGCACUACUAGCUCCUGAACUUAACUUUGAGUUUCGCUUUGGUCCUUAAAUUUUUAUUUCAAUAAUCAAAACUCUGAACUUUCACUACAAUAGUUAUUAAACUCGAAAUAGUUAUUAAACUUUUAAUUAUAUUUUAUUUUAGUAAUUACCUUAGGGUUAAAGGUAUUGUUUGUACCAAGUUUAUCCAUGUAUUCGAACAUUAUAAAUGUAUAAUUGAACGAUUCAAUUUUUACAUAAAAUAUAAUGCUAUAACUAAAUGGGUGAUAGCACUAAAAUAUAAGUUUUUAAAAAUCAAUAAAUCUACGGUGUAUAAAUGUACAUAUGCACCAGGUGUAGGGAAAAAAAGGAAAUAAAAUAAAACUACAACUCUAUCGGUCCAAUUCAUCACUAAUACGGAAAUUUUUAAAAAAUUGAGAAUCAAAGUGACAGUUGUUGAAAGUGGAGUGACUAUAAAUGCAAUUUUAUCCCAAAAAAGACGCUUAAUUAUUAGAAGAAAAUAAAUUUCAUACAGAACGCUACAAAUAUAAUGAAUUACAAAUAUAUUCUUACAAAGUUUAAGUUAUAUAUGUUAUUCUUACAAAAUUUUUAAUAUUUUUAAGUAUAUUUCUUUGUUUUGUUACUGUAACACUGUUAAAGCACUGUUUAUUUAUAAGUGAAAUGAUAAUUUUGUCAUUACAAAUAAAUCUUUUAAAAAAUUUCAACAGUGUAAAAUGGUCAAUUCACCUUAUUAACUAAUUAGAGUUAAGUAUUUUACUGAUAAUUAACUAAUAUUUGAAAAUAUUAGAAUUUUUGAAAGAAUAAUAUAUGGAAGUUGAGUUAAAUAGAUAUAUGUAUUUGUAAUUUACUAUUUUGUGAGGACCUAUAUGCAAGUAAUCCAAAACGGACAGAGAAAACGAAACAAAAAAGUUCCCUCGUCACUCCGUACACUCCGUACAGUACGGACGAGACCAAGGCUCGUAGGCCCCACAUAGCACGAAGGGAUAUAACGAAAUAAAAUAAAUUAGAAAAAUAGGUUGAAAAUAUACGGACCGUCCGAUCAAAUACCGGUUCUCAAUCACCGGCCGUGCGAUCACAUGCUAUUAUUUUAAUCGUCCCCCACGAACCUCGGCCCUCCCAUUCGCGCCCCACCUCAAAAAUCCCCCAUGCCCAGCGCGCAACGGCCAACCGCGCCCGGUGGGCCCCACCACUCCGAACCCGCACGUGGGCCCCACCCCGGCUCCGCGGGCCCGAUUGCCGCCACGUGUCGGGACGGGCUCCGAAACCCCGUCUCCGCCGCUCGAUUCGUCCGAAUGAGCCCAUCCCCACAUUAUUUGUCCCGCCCCAACCCCUUCGCUGUCAUCUUCUUCGUCUCUCUUCGCGUUCUCAACUCCCACCACCCCCGCUCUGAGUUCGCCCCACCGCGCUCGAAGGUUCGCAGCAAACCCUAGCUCCCGAUCCCAUCUCCUCUACAUUUCGAUCGAUCGAUCGAUCGAUUUCGAUCUAAUCGAUCUCUUUUUUUCUUUUUCUUUUUUUUUUUCUUUCUUUCGAAUGGUACGUAUAUAGGCGAGUGGAGCACUCGGUAGCGGGGUUAAUUUUUCCGAAAGAAUCGAUUCAAAUCGCGCGUUCUUGAACCCUAGGGUUUCUGAUCGAGAGGAUACGUACCUGUUUCGGUUGAUCUAUGAGGCAGUAGAGAGGGAGCGGCGGGGAGAGAUCGUCGUCGUCGUUGCUGCUGCGGGGCCGAGGAGGAGGAGGAGAGGUGACAAUGGCGGCGGGAGCGGAGGCGCCGGCGCCGGCGCCGGCGUCGGAAGCGGGGCAGAGCUCCGCCGCUGCCGCGGCGGCGGCGGGGAUGUCGGGGCCGCAGGGGCUGACGCGGCGGCCGUCGCGGAGCGCGGCGAUGGCGACGUUCUCCAUGGAGGUGUUCGACAACGAGGUCGUGCCCUCCUCGCUCAGCAGCAUCGCCCCCAUCCUCCGCGUCGCCGCCGAGAUCGAGCCCGAGCGCCCCCGCGUCGCCUACCUCUGUACACACCCCCUUUCCCCCUCUCUCUCUCUCUCUCUCUCUCUCUCUCUCUCUCAAAAACUUGGUGGGGAUGGUCCAAAAGUGAGAUCACGCGAAGAACACGAAUCUCAAUGUCGUAUGAACUGUAAAUUGAACGGUCUCACAAUGGAAACCAUUCCUACCGAUUUUUUCCCCUGAGCUCAUUUUGAUCCCUCUUUCCAUGUUAGAAACCCUAAGAACGAGAUCGAUCGAUCGACGACGGUGUCUUCGAUCUCAAUUUCAUUUUUUAAUAAAUACUGCAAAAACAAAAAAAAGGGGAUGCAUGCAUGAUAUAUCUUAGUCGAUUUUUUUCCUUUUAAUUUUUUUUGUGCAUACUUAAAUAGGUCGAUUCUACGCUUUCGAGAAGGCGCAUCGCCUCGAUCCGAGCUCAAGCGGACGUGGAGUUCGCCAGUUUAAGACCGCUCUCCUACAGCGCCUCGAGCGAGUGAGAUUUUAUUUUCUUCUUCUUUUUUUUUUUUUUUGAAAUCCACUUUUUAAUGCAUAUAUAUUUUUAUAUAUAUACACUACCUAUGAAACAUCGUUACUACGUCGUUCUCUGAGUUUGCGGCGCAUGAUUUUGGCGUUACUCGAACAAGAUGAUAAGAAACUGGAAAGAAAAUGAUUAUUUUAGGACGAAGUAAUAAUAAUAAUAAUAAUAAUAAUAUUUAAUAUUAACAUAUAACGGCUUCUUUAUUCCCGACAGCUGGGGCCGGGGUACGGGGUCAACGCAGGUUGUUUGCGUGGGUUUUGGGUAUUUUCGUCUUUUUGAUAGGAGGUAUAUAUUGGUAAAAUUGGGGUGACUUUAUCAAUCGCCCUAUUCUUUCCCGCUCUCGCCCGACACACCAAAAAAAAAAAAAAAAAAAAAAAAAAACAAAAUGUUGUUUUGCCUUUUGGCUCCAGAUCGGGAGCCUCAAUCGUGUCUAGCAACCAGUUUAAUCCGGUAAUGAAAGGUUAGUUUGUGUUUGAAUCCCGCUCUAUUGACGGUGAAUACUUUGUUAGGUUUUUGUUUUUUAGGGCUACGAAUAGUGGAAGCGAUUGUUUGGCCUGAAGAAUCCCUGCAAAUCAAAUCUACUCCAAACAUUAACCCCAUAAUAACACAAUUUAGAUAGGAUUAAGCUUCUACUCUGACAAUAAAAUUUUAGGGGAAAACAACCCAUUCAAGAUUGGACUGGGAAUGAAAUCGCCGCGAUUCCAUCAAUGUUUUGAUUCCUGGAAGGGAACUUAGCUAAAAUCUCACUCAGAAAGAUGGACUAUAUUUUUCUUCCAGAGUAAUUUGGUGAAAAAACUUUUUUUUUUUGUUUUUUGUUUUUUGGUAUAAUUCUGUAGGGAUAAAUCUUUCCAGAUGCCAAAAAAAGCCUACUUUUUCUCACCAGUGGAAUGUGUUUUGAGCAUACUUGAAUCAUAUUACAUUACAGGAUAAUACGCCGAGCCUUGCGAAGAGGGUAAAGAAGAGUGAUGCGCGGGAAAUUGAGAGCUUUUAUCAGCAGUACUAUGAGCACUAUGUUCGUGCUCUCGAUAAAGGCCAACAAGCUGAUAGGCAAGCAUCUGAUUUGCUUGGUUUCAUCUUUCUUUUAAUGUUUAUUGCGGCCUACCUUGGAUGUGGAAACUGAUUAGUAUCUUGUCAUUGGCAGAGCCCAGCUUGGGAAAGCCUACCAGACUGCUGGAGUUCUUUUUGAAGUGCUAUGCGCAGUUAAUAAGACCGAGAAAGUUGAAGAGGUCGCUCCGGAGGUUGGUGCUGCUGCCAAUUUUAAAUCCCAAUGAUUGCCAUGGGCCAGAUCUUGUCAUUUUGUGUCUUUCUUUUUUGUUCAUUUAACCAUGUUUCUUAUUCUUGAAGUAAUUUCGGUUAUUUGCCACUGUUAUUGAGUUGUUCGUCUUCAUCUCUCGUGUUUGUUCUUGCACAGAUUAUUGCUGCUGCCAGAGAUGUGCAAGAAAAGAAGGAAAUUUAUGUUCCUUACAACAUUCUUCCUCUUGAUGCUGCCGGUGCUUCACAGUCCAUCAUGCAACUUGAGGAGGUAUGACUUGUCACAGUUUUCUAGUCUCCACUAUUCUUAAGAAGAUAGUUUCCUAAUUAUCUGACAAUCCUUGUGACAGGUGAAAGCAGCAGUUGCUGCCCUGAGGAACACGCGAGGUUUGAACUGGCCAUCUUCCUUUGAGCAGCAAAGGCAAAAGACAGGAGACCUGGAUCUGCUUGAUUGGUUGAGGGCGAUGUUUGGGUUUCAGGUCUCGUAGCUCUAGAUAGAAGAUGACUUAUUGGUGCUAUUGCUUUCAUGAGGUCUCUAGCUUCUCUUUAUGUCUAACUAAAUUUAUUUUGUUUCCAGAGGGACAGUGUCAGGAAUCAAAGGGAGCAUUUGAUCCUACUGUUAUCUAAUGUUCAUAUAAGACUAACACCGAAGCCCGAACCUCUUAAUAAGGCAUGUGAAACUUUUCCUCCCUCUGAGUUGCAGUGCGUGUUUGUUAACCACUCUGCUUCCAUUGACUGCUAGUAAGGAUGUACCAUUGUCACAGCAGCUGCAUGUAUAUCAUUUUCACCUACCAAAAUCUUCUGCAUGUUUGUUGAUCUAACAAACUGCAACUAAAGCAAGUGAAAAUACUUGGUUAAUCGAUGCAUAAACAUUUAAUUGAGAAAGUGUUUAUGGACCAUGUAACAGCUUACCUUGGUCAGGUUUCGACUGAGCCUAAGAUAGCUAUUUCUUCUGUCAGAAUAUUCCUGACUAUUAUUUGACUGCAUGAUAUCUGACAUCAAGUGAACCAAUUCGGAGCCUUGUUUCGGCCUUGCGUUUUGUCUUUGGUUUAGAUCAAUCAAAUGUAUUUUACUCUAAGAACAAGUUAUUUCUUGUUUAACCACUCUCUCUUCCAGCGAUUGCAAACAGCAGUUUAAAAUAUGUCGUAUCUAGUUGUCGUUUUACACUUGUAUACUGGAAGGUCGACAAUCAGUCUCAAAAUUGUGUAAAUAAAGCGCUAAUACAUUCUAUUCUGUAUUUACAAUAAUCAUGCUAUAUCUUAGUUGAUUUGCUAACCAGUUCCUUUGAAACAGCUGGAUGAGCGAGCUGUUGAUGCUGUGAUGAAUAAGCUUUUCAAGAAUUACAAAACAUGGUGUAAAUUCUUAGGGCGCAAACACAGUUUAAGGUAUGAUGCUUAUCCCUCUUGAUUAUCGGUUACUUUUUUUAGCACUUUUUUUUAUUAUUGUGUGUAAUGCUGGUAAGUUUUACGAGUUCAGACUCCCUCAAGGUGCACAACCACAAGAAGUCCAGCAGAGAAAGAUUCUCUAUAUGGGUCUCUUUCUUCUUGUUUGGGGUGAAGCAGCCAACGUUCGGUUUAUGCCUGAAUGCCUGUGCUACAUCUUUCAUAAUGUAACAUACCUUUCCAAAUGCAUUUAUUCUUUUUCCCCCCCUUUCCUUAAUGCCUUAUAAUUCCUGCAACUACACGUCUAUAUUUUCGUUAAGCAAAUUCUAAAUGAGUUCAGAUGGCAUAUGAGCUACAUGGUCUGCUUGCUGGCAAUGUAAGCGUUGUGACCGGAGAAAACAUUAGACCUUCAUAUGGGGGAGAUGACGAGGCUUUCUUGAAGAAAGUGAUUACUCCAAUUUAUCGUGUUAUAGAGAGGGUAUGCUUCUUAACAUCAAAAAUACAACAUUUCACUUUAUCUUCACUUUACGGAACAACAAAUAAUGGUGUUGAUCUGCCAGGAAGCAAGCAAAAGCAAAAAUGGAAAAGCUCCACAUUCAGCAUGGUGUAAUUAUGAUGAUCUAAAUGAGUACUUCUGGUACUUCAAAGAGUCCUGAAUACUUGCUAAAUUAGUUCUUUGGUUUCAUUCAAAUGUGCUAAUAUUCAAUGUAACUAUGUGACACUCAGGACAUCUGAUUGUUUCUCUUUGGGAUGGCCUAUGCGUGAUGAUGGUGAUUUUUUUAAAUCAGUACACGAUUCAAGGUCAAUAUCGCUGGUAUGUUAUAAGCUUCCACUGGUCAAUGCAUUGAAAAUUCCCAAAAGAAUGUCGUGCUAAGAUGCUCUAUUUGCAGGCUGGACGCUCAUCUCAAAGAACUAGUAAAAGCACCGGGAAGUCAAAUUUUGUUGAGACCAGAACAUUUUGGCACAUUUUCCGAAGCUUUGACCGUAUGUGGACCUUUUAUAUAUUGGCACUGCAGGUACUCUGAUGACACGUCAGGUGGAAUGUCUUUACUUUGAUUUUCUCUCAUAUGUAUACUGAUUUUCCAAUUUUACAGGCAAUGGUGGUCGUUGCUUGGAGUGGCUAUCCACUAGAGGAAAUCUUUCAAAAAGAUAUCUGGUAUUCUGUGUCUAGCAUUUUCAUUACAGCAGCAUUUCUUCGGUUCCUCCAAAGUACGAGCUUUUCCAAACAUAUAACAAUAUUUUUCUUUUUUUCUGGAUUCUUGAUGAAACAAGUAGUUUUACAUAUGAUAAACUUGUUGUAUGCUAUGAAGGCCUAGUUCUAUAUUAAAUGUCUCCUUACUGGUAUCCAAGCACCUUAUAUUGACUUGUUAUAAUAUAGGACAUAAAGGUGUAGUCUUGGAAUGCAUUACCCAAAAGCAUGCAAUUUUAUCUUUAAGUAGGUCCUGAUCUUCAAGGUAGUUUAGACCUUACUUCUUCCUAUAUUGUAAAAUGGUGGUGGGAGCCAUCACCAGAGAAGAUCUUGCUGGAUGCUUCUCCUAUGGCGGUUUCCACCACUAUUUUUAAGGAUAGGAAGAGGUAAAAUCUAAAGUUCUUUCAAAAUUUUUGUGUCCUUCAAACUUAUCAAGGGUGGAUGCUUUUGAGGGAUGCAUUCCCAAACUAGGCCUUAGUACGUUGGGGAUCCUAGGUUCUUCUGAUGAUUAUUGUGAUGCUCCCUAUAAUGUUUAGGGUUUAGGGUUUUGAGGUUCUUCUGAUGAUUGUGAAUGCUUUUAAGGGAUGCAUUCCCAAACUAGUCCUAAGUAGGUUGCUGAUCCUAGGUUCUUCUGAUGAUUGUGAUGCUUCUUAUGACGUUAACUUAAAUUGUUGUACCAUUCUAUUGUUGACAGGCAUUCUGGACCUUGUUCUGAACUUCCCUGGCUAUCAUAGAUGGAAAUUCACUAAUGUUCUGCGAAAUAUACUCAAGACACUAGUUAGUGCUGCCUGGGCUGCUAUCCUUCCUCUUUGUUACCUUAAUACUGCAGAAAAAGUAAAUUUACCAGUGAAAGAUCUGGCGAAAUGGCUUGGUCAAGUGAAAGGAGUGCCGCCUUUAUAUAUCAUGGCUGUAGCAGUGUACUUGCUCCCAAAUUUGCUAGCAGGAAUACUAUUUAUUUUUCCAAUGCUUCGGAGAUGGAUCGAAAACUCUGAUUGGCACAUCAUUAGAUUCCUCCUAUGGUGGUCUCAGGUACAAAAUGCAUAUUUUUGUUCAAAAAGAAUACAGAAUGCAUAUAGAUCCCUCUUGUUCUUUUGUCCUCUCUGCUCUUAUAUUUCUCUUAUUUAUGACUAACCGGAUUCUUCUGUAGCUUGAUCUGUAUAUCAAGUGUGGCUACUUUGUGUUUCAGAAACAUUAUAGUUGCUGCCGCGCUGGGCAUUUAUAAUUUCCAUAUCCUUUUUUUGAAAGCUAAUGUUCAUUUCCAUUUUCAUGCUAUCAUGUUAAUGGAACUAAAAUUCACCAGUAGAUCAAUCUAUUCAGCAAGUAGGAAUAGUUUAGUGCACAUAUAUCAAAAAGGAGGCAAAGUAGAAGAGACGCUUAAUUGCCUAGAAUCGUCAUGUGGAACAGUUUCUUUUUUUGUUUUGUUUUUUUUACUCUUUUAGGUAAUUUAUAUGUAUGAAUGAGAAGCUGGUCCCUUGGAUAGCUAGAACUGGUUAUCAUGUUAAUGGCUGCCUUGGAUGCUUUCCCACUAGUGUAUCACAUUCUGUUUUGUGGAUAAUUCAUGGAAAUCUGAUUUAAUUUCCUCUCUGAUGAUCCAACCCAUUAGCUAAUUACAUGAUCAUGCUAUAGCUGUCUUCCUUUUCCAUUAUUCUUGCAUAUUCUUUUAUUAUUCACUAACUGCAUCAUAUCAACACCUGUAGCCACGAAUUUAUGUUGGACGGGGUAUGCAUGAAAGUCAGUUUGCCCUUUUCAAGUAAGUUUAUGUGACCGCCAUCCUAUCUAGUUCCGGUCCACUCUCUGAGAUAGAAUUGCCACCUACAUCUCCUCUUCUUUUGCAGGUAUACAUUGUUUUGGGUAUUGCUUUUGUGCUCCAAAUUCGCAUUCAGUUAUUUUGUCCAGGUAAUCUUUGUCUUUUCAGGGUAAACUUUUAUAGAACAUAGAGUUUAAGGAAAUCUAGUAGUCAAUAUCAUCAGUUUGCUUAUUCAUGUUACUAUUAUACAGAUUAAACCUCUGAUUAAGCCAACAAAGGAUAUAAUGGAUGUUCACAAUAUUCAAUAUGCCUGGCACGAGUUUUUCCCGAAUGGUAACAAUGGUUUUUCAUUAUUUCUAUCGAUUGGUGCUCAUGUUUUUUCAAUUCACGAAUGUUAUGAUCUGUGCAGCCCAACACAAUAUUGGUGCUAUUGUCUCCCUCUGGGCGCCUGUGAUUUUGGUAGGUGUUGCCACUAAUUUUCACCCAUCUGUCUUUUGGAAAAAAAAAAAAAGAAAAAAAGUAAAUGGUGAAUUGUUCUUUUCUUUAUCCUUUUCCCUCGUCAAAAGUUGACAUGUUUGGCAACAACAGUUUACGAGAGCACAACUUUCCUUUCCUCUUCAGGUCUAUUUUAUGGAUACACAGAUUUGGUAUUCAAUUUUCUCUACCCUGUAUGGUGGUGUUUAUGGAGCAUUUGGCCGACUUGGAGAGGUAAACUAGGGAAAAAAAACACCCAAGGGUGAUGUUCCAUCUUCUAGGACUAAAUUACGAGAUUGAAACUUCAGGGAUCUCCUUGCAAUUUCAAACGCAUUUAGGGAGUAACUAUAGACUUUCUCCUUUUGUUUAUCCCACUGGAUUAGUUAUCAUUCUAUCAUGCCUAGCUUGUUACAGUAUAAGCAUAGAAUUUACUCUGCUCUAACUUUAAAUUCAUAGUAAAAUAUUUUUCAUGUGGUCAGAAUACAGUCAAAAAAAAAAUCAUUUGGUUAGAAACUCAAACUUCCGCUUAUUAUAUCUUUCUUUUACUUUUAAUAGAUACGGACGCUAGGCAUGCUGAGAUCACGAUUUCAUUCUUUACUCGGAGCCUUCAAUACAUAUCUGGUGCCAUCCGAAAAGACCCGCAACAGGGGCUUUUCACUCUCAAAACGUUUUGCUGAGGUUAGCAAAAACUAUUAAUUUAGUCUAGACAAUUUUGAAUGGUUAUUUGACCUGAAUGUUUAACACUAAUAUGAAAAAACCAUGAAGGUUUCUCCAAACAAGAGAACUGAAGCUGCAAAGUUUGCUCAGUUGUGGAAUGAAGUGAUUUGCAGCUUCCGAGAGGAAGACCUGAUAAGCGACAGGAAAGCCCUUCAACUCAUUUAUAAGAUAACCUAUUUUCUAUUCAUACUAUGAAAUUGGUGUCCUGCAAUGCUGAUAAACAGUUUGUAAAUUCAGGGAGAUGGAUCUUUUGUUAGUUCCUUACUCUUCAGAUCCUAGCCUGAAGUUAAUACAAUGGCCGCCCUUCUUGCUAGCCAGCAAGGUUUUUUACCAACACUCUUAUUCUUGGCUGUAUAGUUACCUAUGUGCCCAACUGCUGAUGUUUCACUACAUGGGUGCUCUUGCAGAUUCCCAUAGCUCUGGACAUGGCAGCUCAAUUUCGAACAAGGGACUAUGAUCUUUGGAAACGAAUAUGUGCUGAUGAGUAUAUGAAAUGUGCUGUACUAGAAUGUUACGAGUCUUUUAAACUUGUUCUUAAUGUACUGGUGGUUGGAGAAAAUGAGAAAAGGUCUGUUAGAAACCAUCUAUAUUCAUUUUGGUUGCUUUCAUGUGAUCUUUUGAGAAUUAGUGACUUGACAAUGUGCUUAAAUAUAUUAAUUUCAUCAUCUUCUUAACAUACUGGUGCAUCCACUGGGACAGGAUUAUUGGUAUUAUUAUCAAAGAAAUUGAAGCCAACAUUGCAAAGAGCACGUUUCUUGCCAAUUUUAGAAUGAGCGCCUUACAAGUCCUGUGCAAGAAAUUUGUGGAGCUUGUGUCCAUCUUGGUAAGUCAAAUACAAAAAAUUAUCAUUUAUUUUCUGUGAACAUUUCAUCAUGUUGAACAAUUUUUUUAACUCAAUUAACAUUGUAUCUUUGGAUAAGUAAAACAUUUCUAUCAAGGUAUGACAAGAACCCCUAAAAUGAUUUUUUUGCUUUCACUUCCAGAAAGAAGGAGAUGCUUCUAUGCGUGACACUGUGGUCCUAUUGCUGCAAGACAUGCUAGAGGUGGUUACUAGAGAUAUGAUGGUUAAUGAGAUUCGGUAGGGAAUUGUAUAAUUUGAAUCACUGAAAAUGUCAAUUUUUCUGAGUAAUUUUUCGUCGUCUUUUGAUAUCUGGAUUUGUUCUUGUAGGGAGUUGGUUGAGCUUGGCCAUGGUAGCAAGGAUUCAGUCCCCCGAAGACAACUUUUUGCUGGUACUGGUUCAAAGGCUGCUAUAGUGUUUCCCCCUGUAGUUACAGCUCAAUGGGAAGAACAGGUGCAUAGCCAUACAUCCUCUCAUGUUGUUGAUAGCUAGGACGGCAUAGUUAUAUUUGUAAUUUACAGAUCAAACGCCUGUACCUGCUGUUGACUGUAAAAGAAUCAGCAAUAGAUGUGCCUACGAAUCUUGAAGCUCGGCGGAGGAUAGCGUUUUUCACGAAUUCAUUAUUCAUGGACAUGCCACGUGCACCUCGAGUUCGCAAAAUGCUAUCAUUCAGGUUACUGUCUUGUUUCUAAUAGUAUCACUGGAUGGACAUGCAAUAUUUCAAGAUCGUUUAACUAGUUAUGAAAGAGAUUUCGUCAUUAACCAGCAUUGAACCAGUUCAAUGCCCACAUGGAAACAGCAAAGUUAGUUGACUAAAGAGAUAUGGACCGGGACCAUGCAUCACAAUACUGCCACCCCCAGUUUUGGUUCUAGAAUAGGUUGAACCUUUUCUGCCUAGAAGUGAGGUGAAACUCCUAAGUGUAAGAAACAGUAUUUUAUUAGAGUUGGAUGCUAAAAGAGAAUUAGAGAACUUCGAACCAAAUGCCACAUGAUAAGUGACAAGACAUAUCAUGAACUAAAUUUAUUACAACUUACUGUGAGAAUUCAUGACUCAUCCAUGCUAGCUGUUUCUGUGGUGUGUUUUAAGUUCACCUUGUUAAGAAGUUCAUUUAAAACUUGCAUUAUACUGUAGCUGCAAGCUUAUGUCACAGGGAGACCUGUUAGAUCAAUGAGUUCCUCAGUUCAAAUCCAUGACCCUCAUUCUAUCAAUUUUGCAAGGCAUUUCAGUAGCUACAUUUAACACUACAUAUGUGUAAGUUUUGGUACAACAUGACUACAGAGAGGUUUACAUCAUUAUAUGUCACGGUGCAACAAGUGAUUCGUAGAACAAAUAUCUUUUGUCUCAGUAAUACUAUGAUCAGCAGAACAUAUAAAUUAUUUCAGAUAUGAAUAUUUAUAGCCAAGUAUCAUGAACUGUAUAAAUGAAUGUCUAUGGCAUUACCAAGUAUCAAGAUAUAAUUCACUUCGGAGAUGAAUAUUCAUGAUUGCCAAGUAUCAUGAACUGUAUAGAUCUCUCGUUUUCAGUAUUAUGUUUAGCUAAAAUUUUACAUAAGUUUAGUCAACAUUCUGAAACAGUCAUUUUUAUUCUAUAUGACUUUGCAGUGUCAUGACCCCUUACUAUAGUGAGGAGACUGUCUAUUCCAGAAAUGAUCUUGAUUUGGAGAAUGAAGAUGGUGUAUCAAUCAUCUUUUACCUUCAAAAGAUCUUUCCAGGUUCAAAUACUUCAGUACCUGCAGCCCUGCCUCUCUUCUUCUCUCUUUUCUUUUCUCUUUUGGGAUUGCUUGUUUGUCAUUGUUCAUGGAAUUUUACUUGUGUACAUGCGCUUAACCUUGUCAAUUGGUUUAAAUAGAUGAAUGGAACAACUUCAUGGAGAGAAUUAACUGCAAGAGAGAGAGUGAAGUUUGGGCUAAUGAGGAGAAUGUCUUACAACUUCGCCAUUGGGCCUCCCUUAGGGGACAGACACUCUGUAGAACAGGUAAUUGCUAUACUCACAUUUCUAUUUCUUGCCAUCUAUUAGACAACAAUAACAUUAGCUUGGUUUCAUUUUCUUUCCUGAGGACAGUUAGGGGCAUGAUGUACUACCGAAGAGCUUUAAAACUUCAGGCUUUUCUUGACAUGGCUUCUGAAAGUGGUAUGUUGCUUUGGUCACCGAAAUGAAGUAUUUCAAUCUCAUCAUUUACCUCAAUAGUACUAUUGGUGAUUAUCUACUUUUAUGUACAGAAAUAUUAGAAGGAUAUAAAGCAGUUGCUGAUCCAGAAGAGGAAGAGAAGAAGAGCCAAAGAUCACUAUCUGCUCAACUUGAGGCCAUAGCUGACAUGAAAUUUACAUAUGUUGCCACAUGCCAAAUUUAUGGCAAUCAAAAACAGUCUGGAGAUCGUCGUGCAACAGACAUUUUGAACUUGAUGGUCAAGUGAGUUUUCCGUUCGUUUUUCUACAAUAUUUCACUUGGUCAUUCUUCCUGAUGAUUAAUAUCACCAUUCCAUCAUAUGAUACUUACAUGUGAUCUUGAAGGUACGUGAAAUAAUCAUGCUGUACCUAAUAAUACCUUAUAGAGUGACAUAAAAAUGUUUCUAUUCUUUAUCUUUUUAGCUAAUGGAUUUAAUACUGAAAGCUAAUCUCUAAUUUGUAAAUACAGCUAUCCUUCUCUUCGGGUAGCCUAUAUUGAUGAAGUUGAAGAAAGAGAUGGUGACAAGGUACAGAAGGUCUACUAUUCUGUGUUGGUGAAAGCUGUUGACAAUCGUGAUCAGGUAAUCAUUGCUCACAAUACAUCCCGUCUGCCUGAACUUAAGAUGAUACUGAUGUUUUAUUUUCUUCUGUGAAAGGAAAUAUACCGGAUAAAAUUACCAGGAUCAGCAAAAGUAGGUGAAGGGAAGCCCGAAAACCAAAACCAUGCAAUAAUCUUUACUCGUGGUGAGGCACUUCAGACAAUUGAUAUGAAUCAGGUAAAGAAAGUUCUAAGAUUACUGAAUUGAUGUCUUAAGCUUUGUUCUUAUAUAACAAUUGAGGAAUUUUUCAGGACAAUUAUCUGGAAGAGGCUCUAAAAAUGCGGAAUCUCCUGGAAGAAUUUAAUGAAGACCAUGGAGUGCGUCAGCCUACCAUUCUUGGUGUUCGUGAACAUAUAUUCACAGGAGGGUAAAUAACAAUUCAUUAGCAUUAACAUGCCUUACUUCUACUCACUAAUAACAUUAGACCAUUGUCCAAUUGACAAUUUUUCUUUGUAGUGUAUCAUCUCUGGCAUGGUUCAUGUCAAACCAGGAAACCAGCUUUGUGACUAUUGGACAGAGAGUCCUCGCUAGCCCAUUGAAGUAAGUUCCACUUCUUGGUCGUGUAAUAAUUUCAGUUCAUCUAGCUGGUAUAGUAUGGUAGCUCCAAUAUUUUAUUGUUAAUGUAUAUAGUUAUUACUGGAGUAGUCACCCAGAGGCUAUAUUUUAAUAUUAUGUCUUACUUGGAACUAGUAUGAAAAUCUGAACUCAAGAACCUUUCAGUGCCUUUAUGCCUGAAAAGAAAAGUAAUUCGUAUUUUGGUAGUAGAAUCUAGAAUAUGUUUGAUCUUUGUAAUAUAUAAACCUUCUAUUAGAACAAUGGAAAGAGAAAGGAAUAUUGAGAAAGUAAAACAAUCAAAACCAAAGAAUAGAAUGAGAUAUUAUAGGUUAGUUGUUUUGCAUAGUAUCAGAGUAAAAGGUAAUGAGUUUAAAUCUCACUGUGCAUCCAGUAUUGUUUAAUUUCCUCCCAUUUAAGGGGCAUUCAUGUUUUAAGCCUAUCAUAAAGCCCUGUACAUGAGAGGGAGUACUAAAUAUAACAUACUUAAACACUGUUCUCUAACAACUUAAGCUUUUAGAGAGUAAUCAGUUGUUUCACACAUUUCUUUUUUCGUUCUGCUGCUGAAACACUAAGGGUGUGUUUGGUUCCACGUAAAACUGGAAAAAAAAUUUCGGUGGAAAAAAAAGUUUUACGUCGUUUAGUGUUUGGUUUGUAGAAAAAGAAAAAUAGUUUUCCAUAACGGUUGUUUGGUUGAAAGGAAAAAAAAAUAGAUAAAAAACUAUUAAAUAUAUUUUUUUAUUAUAUAUAUUAUUAAUAUAUAAUAAUUAAUAUACCAUAUAUAUUAUCAUUAUAAUUUCUAUAUAUAGAUUAAAUAUAUUUAAAAUAAUAAUAAACAUAUAGUUAUAUAUUUUGAGAUAUUAAUAAAUAUAUUACAUAUUUAUGGCUGUUUGUUUGAAAGAAAAAAAAAAUAUAAAACUAUUAUAUUUUAUUAUUCUUAUAUAUAUAUUAUAUAUUAUUAAUAUGCAAUAAUUAUUAAUACUAUAUAUAUUAUUAUUAUAGUUUUUUAAUAAAUAAAUAUAUUCAAAAUAUAUUAUAUAAUAAGUAUAUAAUAUAAUAUAUAAUAGUAUAUUAUAUUUAGUACUAUAAAAUAAAUCACUAUUUAAAAAUAAUAUAUAUAUAGAUAUGCAUGCACACACAUAAUGAAUGAGGGAGAGAGAGUCCACGGGUCCAGCUCCCUCGUGGAUUCUUCCUCACGUGGUCCACGAGGUGAAGUUCACAUUGUGGACCGCGUGUUAACACAGCCAUGAGCCGCGAUUUUUCCCCGCGAGCUUUUCGUUUUCCGCUCGAAGCGAGCGGAAAACGAAAACGCUUCGUUUUCCGCUCGCUUUGAGCGGAAAACGAAAACGCUUCGUUUUCUAAGUAUCUAUAAAAGAAAUUUUCCAGGAAAAUUUUUACAGACAACCAAACAACAAAAAAUAUUUUUUCAACGAAAAAUUUCUUUUCGGAGCGGUUUUACGAGGAUCCAAACACGCCCUAAAAGAAUUUCUGCAAUAUAAAAGCUGUGAUGGUGAAGAACUGUCAUAAAUUCUGAAAUUUUUUAGUCACAGCAUGCAUAACUUGGAUAAGGCUUUUAGCUUAUGGAUAUGCUCAAGGGCAAGUACAUUUCAUCCUGGAAGCAUCGUAGCUCUUUACAGAUGUUUUAUUUCCUUUUCCUGUUAAUUUGUUUCAGAUGAAUAAUUAUUUUAGGAGAUAAAAUAUUUACCUUCCUCCAAUUUGGACAGGAUUCGGUUUCACUACGGUCAUCCAGAUGUGUUUGAUAGGAUCUUUCAUAUCACAAGGGGUGGCAUUAGCAAGGCUUCACGUGGAAUCAAUCUAAGCGAGGAUAUAUUUGCAGGUAAAAUUGUUUCCUAUCAUUUCUCUUAGCUCCAAUGCUAAUGCCUAUAUAAACUGAGCAUGACAUGUCUUUCAGGUUUCAACUCGACGCUAAGGCGUGGAAAUGUCACACACCAUGAGUACAUCCAGGUGGGCAAAGGCCGUGAUGUUGGCCUCAACCAAAUUUCGCUCUUUGAAGCGAAAGUGGCCUGCGGCAAUGGAGAGCAAAUACUAAGUAGAGAUAUCUAUCGUUUGGGUCAUCGCUUUGACUUCUUCCGAAUGCUAUCAUGCUACUUUACAACCGUUGGAUUCUACAUCAGCUCAAUGGUAAGAACUAUUCUUCUUUUCUAAAGUUAUUAGAGAACCCUAACAGGUACUUUGCAAUUCCUUGAUUACUUCUUAUCCAUUGUCUUACUUUUUGUUCAAUAUGCAGAUGGUUGUCAUUAUUGUUUACCUAUUCCUAU
This 19530-nucleotide long non-coding RNA is filed under the name Ananas comosus (pineapple). Its description in RNAcentral is "long non-coding RNA (ACOM_LNC009588)". The stretch from base 15994 to 16073 matches the Rfam family "Small nucleolar RNA J33". The record is from RNAcentral. Lineage: Eukaryota; Viridiplantae; Streptophyta; Magnoliopsida; Poales; Bromeliaceae.